CCAUCUGCUUCACCACCUCGUCGAAAAACACCGUCGCUAACUGAGAAUGCAGCAGUGAACGGAACUCGAACGAGAUCUGGGGGGGAAGCCAACGACAUUUACACACAUGUGAUGGCACUGAAGGUGUUGUAAAGCACACACACGAUGACUUACUUUGACGAGAUGUGGACGGACGUGGCUAAUCAUGGAAGUGUAUCGUUCAACGACCGGAGGGAAGCCCACUUCCAGCUGGGCUUUGGCGUGACCGGCCCUUUUCAUGAUGGUUUGGGACUUUUUACACCAUGGUACAAAGUGUUUGUACUCAUCCACAUUGGCUACCACGUCAUACAUUUCUUGCAUCGAGAACCUAAAGACCAAAACACAGUGAGGCUGAUGAAAGAUCUCCUGUGAGGAGUAGGAGUCAAAUCCACUUCAGAGAGACAGAGUGUGCGAGGGUAGCGAGUCAUCAG
Pimephales promelas (fathead minnow) is the source of this 449-nucleotide non-coding RNA. The record is from RefSeq and is a predicted model, not a curated record. NCBI's taxonomy places the organism in Eukaryota, Metazoa, Chordata, Actinopteri, Cypriniformes, Leuciscidae.